GACCUGGUUGGGUGGUCUUGCCGCAAGGUAAGCACUGCUCCGAUCGGGUCUUUCCUUCUGGGGAACCAGCGUGCUCUUAAUUGGGUGCGUUGGGGAUCCAGGACUUUUACCUUGAGAAAAUUAGAGUGUUUAAAGCAGGCAAACGCUUGAAUACGUUAGCAUGGAAUAAUAGAAUAGGAC
This 180-nucleotide ribosomal RNA is filed under the name uncultured Glomeromycotina. RNAcentral describes it as "partial small subunit ribosomal RNA". Lineage: Eukaryota; Fungi; Glomeromycota. The record is from RNAcentral.